UUAAUGGGUGAUAGCGUGCCUUUUGUAGAAUGAACCGGCGAGUUACGAUUUGUUGCAAGGUUAAGCGGAAAAAGCGGAGCCGUAGCGAAAGCGAGUCUGAAUAGGGCGCAUAAGUAACAGGUCGUAGACCCGAAACCAGGUGAUCUACCCAUGUCCAGGAUGAAGGUAAGGUAAUACUUACUGGAGGUCCGAACCCACGCACGUUGAAAAGUGCGGGGAUGAGGUGUGGGUAGCGGAGAAAUUCCAAUCGAACUUGGAGAUAGCUGGUUCUCUCCGAAAUAGCUUUAGGGCUAGCCUCGAGGUAAAGAGUCAUGGAGGUAGAGCACUGUUUGGACUAGGGGCCCUUCUCGGGUUACCGAAUUCAGAUAAACUCCGAAUGCCAUGUACUUAUACUCGGGAGUCAGACUGCGAGUGAUAAGAUCCGUAGUCGAAAGGGAAACAGCCCAGACCACCAGUUAAGGUCCCCAAAUAUAUGUUAAGUGGAAAAGGAUGUGGGGUUGCUUAGACAACCAGGAUGUUGGCUUAGAAGCAGCCACCAUUGAAAGAGUGCGUAAUAGCUCACUGGUCGAGUGACCCCGCGCCGAAAAUGUACCGGGGCUAAACAUAUUACCGAAACUGUGGAUGAACCUCUUUAGAGGUUCGUGGUAGGAGAGCGUUCUAAGGGCGGUGAAGUCAGACCGGAAGGACUGGUGGAGCGCUUAGAAGUGAGAAUGCCGGUAUGAGUAGCGAAAGAAGGGUGAGAAUCCCUUCCACCGAAUAUCUAAGGUUUCCUGAGGAAGGCUCGUCCGCUCAGGGUUAGUCGGGACCUAAGCCGAGGCCGAUAGGCGUAGGCGAUGGACAACAGGUAGAGAUUCCUGUACCAGUGCUAAUUGUUUAACCGAUGGGGUGACACAGAAGGAUAGGGAAUCGCACGAAUGGAAAUGUGCGUCCAAGCAGUGAGUGUGAGAAGUAGGCAAAUCCGCUUCUCGCGAAGCAUGAGCUGUGAUGGGGAAGGAAAUUAAGUACGGAAGUUCCUGAUUUCACGCUGUCAAGAAAAGCCUCUAGGAAGAGUAGUACUGCCCGUACCGCAAACCGACACAGGUAGAUGAGGAGAGAAUCCUAAGGUGAGCGAGAGAACUCUCGUUAAGGAACUCGGCAAAAUGACCCCGUAACUUCGGGAGAAGGGGUGCUCUAUUAGGGUGCAAGCCCGAGAGAGCCGCAGUGAAUAGGCCCAGGCGACUGUUUAGCAAAAACACAGGUCUCUGCAAAACCGUAAGGUGACGUAUAGGGGCUGACGCCUGCCCGGUGCUGGAAGGUUAAGAGGAGUGCUUAGCUUCGGCGAAGGUACGAAUUGAAGCCCCAGUAAACGGCGGCCGUAACUAUAACGGUCCUAAGGUAGCGAAAUUCCUUGUCGGGUAAGUUCCGACCCGCACGAAAGGCGCAACGAUCUGGGCACUGUCUCAACGAGAGACUCGGUGAAAUUAUAGUACCUGUGAAGAUGCAGGUUACCCGCGACAGGACGGAAAGACCCCGUGGAGCUUUACUGCAACCUGAUAUGGAAUGUUUGUACCGCUUGUACAGGAUAGGUAGGAGCCGAAGAGACGUGUGCGCUAGCAUACGAGGAGGCAAUGGUGGGAUACUACCCUGGCUGUAUGACCAUUCUAACCCGCCACGCUUAGCGCGUGGGGAGACAGUGUCAGGUGGGCAGUUUGACUGGGGCGGUCGCCUCCUAAAGAGUAACGGAGGCGCCCAAAGGUUCCCUCAGAAUGGAUGGAAAUCAUUCGCAGAGUGUAAAGGCACAAGGGAGCUUGACUGCGAGACUGACAAGUCGAGCAGGGACGAAAGUCGGGCUUAGUGAUCCGGUGGUUCCGCAUGGAAGGGCCAUCGCUCAACGGAUAAAAGCUACCCCGGGGAUAACAGGCUUAUCUCCCCCAAGAGUCCACAUCGACGGGGAGGUUUGGCACCUCGAUGUCGGCUCGUCGCAUCCUGGGGCUGUAGUCGGUCCCAAGGGUUGGGCUGUUCGCCCAUUAAAGCGGCACGCGAGCUGGGUUCAGAACGUCGUGAGACAGUUCGGUCCCUAUCCGUCGCGGGCGCAGGAAAUUUGAGAGGAGCUGUCCUUAGUACGAGAGGACCGGGAUGGACACACCGCUGGUGUACCAGUUGUUCCGCCAGGAGCAUCGCUGGGUAGCUAUGUGUGGCAGGGAUAAACGCUGAAAGCAUCUAAGCGUGAAGCCCCCCUCAAGAUGAGAUUUCCCAUUUCUUCGGAAAGUAAGAUCCCUGAAAGAUGAUCAGGUAGAUAGGUUUGGAGUGGAAGUGUAGCGAUACAUGGAGCGGACAAAUACUAAUCGAUCGAGGACUUAACCAAAA
This 2346-nucleotide ribosomal RNA is filed under the name Listeria monocytogenes. Its description in RNAcentral is "partial 23S ribosomal RNA". It matches the Rfam family "Bacterial large subunit ribosomal RNA", at positions 586 to 2925 of the family's 2925-position model. The record is from RNAcentral. Lineage: Bacteria; Bacillati; Bacillota; Bacilli; Caryophanales; Listeriaceae.